RNAcentral lists this ribosomal RNA (667 nucleotides) under uncultured bacterium. RNAcentral's name for it is "bacterial SSU rRNA". It matches the Rfam family "Bacterial small subunit ribosomal RNA", at positions 126 to 811 of the family's 1533-position model. The record is from RNAcentral.
CUGCCAUAUACAGGGGGAUAAUACUUAGAAAUAGGUGCUAAUACCGCAUAAGCGCACAGGGGCGCAUGCCCCGGUGUGAAAAACUCCGGUGGUAUAUGAUGGACCCGCGUCUGAUUAGCCAGUUGGCAGGGUAACGGCCUACCAAAGCGACGAUCAGUAGCCGGCCUGAGAGGGCGGACGGCCACAUUGGGCCUGAGACACGGCCCAAACUCCUACGGGAGGCAGCAGUGGGGGAUAUUGCACAAUGGGGGAAACCCUGAUGCAGCGACGCCGCGUGAGUGAAGAAGUAUUUCGGUAUGUAAAGCUCUAUCAGCAGGGAAGAAAAUGACAGUACCUGACCAAGAAGCCCCGGCUAACUACGUGCCAGCAGCCGCGGUAAUACGUAGGGGGCAAGCGUUAUCCGGAUUUACUGGGUGUAAAGGGAGCGUAGACGGUUAUGUAAGUCUGGAGUGAAAGCCCGGGGCCCAACCCCGGGACUGCUUUGGAAACUGUGUAACUGGAGUACAGGAGGGGCAGGCGGAAUUCCUGGUGUAGCGGUGAAAUGCGUAGAUAUCAGGAGGAACACCGGCGGCGAAGGCGGCCUGCUGGACUGAAACUGACGUUGAGGCUCGAAAGCGUGGGGAGCAAACAGGAUUAGAUACCCUGGUAGUCCACGCCGUAAACGAUC